GGGUCUACCACCGGGAUGUUCAUAACCCUUUGUUGUCCGACUCUGUUGCCUCCGGGGCGACCCUGCCUUCGGGCGGGGGCUCCGGGUGGACACUUCAAACUCUUGCGUAACUUUGCAGUCUGAGUAAACUUAAUUAAUAAAUUAAAACUUUUAACAACGGAUCUCUUGGUUCUGGCAUCGAUGAAGAACGCAGCGAAAUGCGAUAAGUAAUGUGAAUUGCAGAAUUCAGUGAAUCAUCGAAUCUUUGAACGCACAUUGCGCCCCCUGGUAUUCCGGGGGGCAUGCCUGUUCGAGCGUCAUUUCACCACUCAAGCCUCGCUUGGUAUUGGGCAACGCGGUCCGCCGCGUGCCUCAAAUCGACCGGCUGGGUCUUCUGUCCCCUAAGCGUUGUGGAAACUAUUCGCUAAAGGGUGCUCGGGAGGCUACGCCGUAAAACAAACCCAUUUCUAAGGUUGACCUCGGAUCAGGUAGGGAUACCCGCUGAACUUAAGCAUAUCAAUAAGGCGGAGGAA
Molecule: ribosomal RNA, 512 nt
Filed under: Cladosporium sp. HDN13-389
Lineage: Eukaryota; Fungi; Ascomycota; Dothideomycetes; Cladosporiales; Cladosporiaceae
Description: eukaryotic LSU rRNA
Rfam family: 5.8S ribosomal RNA (bases 146-299)
Source: RNAcentral